RNAcentral lists this transfer RNA (87 nucleotides) under Agrocybe pediades. It matches the Rfam family "tRNA". Rfam says of the family: Transfer RNA (tRNA) molecules are approximately 80 nucleotides in length. Their secondary structure includes four short double-helical elements and three loops (D, anti-codon, and T loops). Lineage: Eukaryota; Fungi; Basidiomycota; Agaricomycetes; Agaricales; Agrocybaceae. The record is from Rfam by way of RNAcentral.
GGGCUCUUGGCACAGGGGUAGCGCGCACGCUUUGCAUCUUCAUCAGGUACAUGCGUGAGGUCGUGGGUUCAAAUCCCACAGUGUCCA